UGGGGAAUAUUGGACAAUGGGCGCAAGCCUGAUCCAGCAAUGCCGCGUGAGUGAUGAAGGCCUUAGGGUUGUAAAGCUCUUUCGCACGCGACGAUGAUGACGGUAGCGUGAGAAGAAGCCCCGGCUAACUUCGUGCCAGCAGCCGCGGUAAUACGAAGGGGGCUAGCGUUGUUCGGAAUUACUGGGCGUAAAGGGCGCGUAGGCGGCCUGUUUAGUCAGGAGUGAAAGCCCCGGGCUCAACCUGGGAAUAGCUUUUGAUACUGGCAGGCUUGAGUUCCGGAGAGGAUGGUGGAAUUCCCAGUGUAGAGGUGAAAUUCGUAGAUAUUGGGAAGAACACCGGUGGAGAAGGCGGCCAUCUGGACGGACACUGACGCUGAGGCGCGAAAGCGUGGGGAGCAAACAG
This 403-nucleotide ribosomal RNA is filed under the name uncultured bacterium. Its description in RNAcentral is "bacterial SSU rRNA". It matches the Rfam family "Bacterial small subunit ribosomal RNA", at positions 355 to 775 of the family's 1533-position model. The record is from RNAcentral.